This 1209-nucleotide small RNA is filed under the name Arabidopsis thaliana (thale cress). RNAcentral describes it as "ATSL213410". The record is from RNAcentral. Lineage: Eukaryota; Viridiplantae; Streptophyta; Magnoliopsida; Brassicales; Brassicaceae.
UUUUUUUUUAGAAUUUAAUCACCACUAAGGAUUUAACCCGUAAUACAUCACGGAACAAAUAUUUUAUUUAUAUAUAAUGAUACUAUUAAAUUUUAUAGUUUUAGUUUAAUAUUAAAAUUAUAUAAUUUUAUAUUAAUGUUAUAACUAAAACAUUGAUGAUGAUAAAAUAAUAAAAUAAAUAUUUAACAUGUGUUAUAUAUAUCAAUCUAAAUCCGUUCUGCUAUAUUUCAUAUCAAUGUAAACCCGUUCCGCUAUAUUUUUUGUCUCAUGAUAUUUUAACUUUUUAUAAGUUUAAAUAUUAGUUGUGAUUGUGAUUCUGGACUUUUAAUUCCAUGGAAUAUUCAAACCAAGAUAAGAAAGUUUUUAGGUGCAUAUAUAAUUGAGAAUAUUACGUGAUUAGACACUUUUUUGAAAGUUUAUCCGUAAUUAGGCACUUAAAAAUCAUUAGGCACUUUGAAUAAUUAAAAUUACUUGUUCACCCUCGUAUCGUCGGUUUUCUAUAACCAAACAAAUCAAAUCCAUUUUCACUAAACCAAUUCAGAUUUAUGGAGCCCACGAUUUUGUAGUUGCCUUUGUGAUUUAAAUUUUUUUUCCAGAAUCGUAAAAAUCCAAAUCCAAUAAAAAAUCCUAAAUUACAAUUUCUCGAAAAGGGGACUCCGGCGACGGGAUAUCCAUCUCCUCCGUCACUGUCCACCACCACUGCUUUUCACACUACACUCUCGUUUGCUCUUUCAACCGUAAAACACCAAACCCAAUUCUCUUGUCAUUUCCUCUAAAUCUCUGCAAUUUCUUAAAUCGAUUUGGAUUUACUUUGCCUGAAAAACUCUUAACUCGUACUGUCCAAACUCAAUUUCAAUUUCAAUUGAGGUUACUUCGAGAAAAGUUCAAGAAUUUCGGAACAACUAAGGUAAAGUUUUGUCAUGUUGACUUCGGAGAUCUUGUUCGUAAUUCUGUGAUAAUGUUUGAUAACUUCUCUGCCCAGUUUGUUUGAAAUUCAGUACUUGAGGUUCUCUAUUGGACAGAAGAUGAACAUAUGGACUACAACACUUGGACAAUCCGUAAUGGACAACCACACAUUUUGUUUGCAGCGUAUGUGUCGUUACAAAAUUGAAAAUCAUUGUCCACGACCAUACAUGACUGCACAGCUUGGUGUUUGAUAAUUCAAGGAAAAAGCCAUAUAAAGGUUCUAUUUCUUAAUCUUACAUUUUG